RNAcentral lists this ribosomal RNA (468 nucleotides) under uncultured bacterium. Its description in RNAcentral is "partial 16S ribosomal RNA". It matches the Rfam family "Bacterial small subunit ribosomal RNA", at positions 28 to 507 of the family's 1533-position model. The record is from RNAcentral.
GAUGAACGCUGGCGGCGUGCCUAACACAUGCAAGUCGAACGGAAAGGCCCUGACUUUGUGGGGUGCUCGUUUGGCGAACGGGGGAGUAAAACGUGUGGAACCUGUCCUUGUACUACGGAUAUCACCAGGAAAAAGGGGCUAAUAUCGCAUAUGAUAUUCUGCUCCCUGGUGGGCGUUGGUAAGAUUCGGCGGUUGGGGCUGGAAUCGAGGCUUACCAGCUUGUUGGUGGGGUAGGGGCUUACCAAGGCUUUGACGGGUAGCCGGCCUGAGAGGGUGACCGGCCACAUUGGGACUGAGAUACGGCCCAGACUCCUACGGGAGGCAGCAGUGGGGAAUAUUGCACAAUGGGCGGAAGCCUGAUGCAGCGACGCCGCGUGCGGGAUGACGGCCUUCGGGUUGUAAACAGCUUUCGCCUGUGACGAAGCGUGAGUGACGGUAAUGGGUAAAGAAGCACCGGCUAACUACGUG